Non-coding RNA from Myodes glareolus (Bank vole), 1874 nucleotides. The record is from RefSeq and is a predicted model, not a curated record. NCBI's taxonomy places the organism in Eukaryota, Metazoa, Chordata, Mammalia, Rodentia, Cricetidae.
GCGACUUGCCCUGGACGUUCAGAGGUGGAGUUCUGCAGGGUGGGUGAAGAAUGGCCCCGCCGACACCUGCAAGAAAGAGGCCGCGGAAGCCACGGGAGCUUCAGGAGAAGCACCGAGGAGGCUAGAAUGGCCUGAGGACCAGGUCACUUCUGCCUAAUGUUCUUCCACAACUGAUUCCCAUGGCCCUCUGCAUAUAUUCUGAGCCUGCUGGCCUGUUCAUUUGGCCACACAACCAGCUAGUGCCUCUAGGCUUUCGUCAUGCUUUCUCAGCCCCCAAGAAAAACAUGGAGAAGCUUUGGAGCCUGGAAGAUCUGAUUUUGAAAAGCAACUAUUAUCGGGUGAAGCUGAUUUCUGUAAGCUUUAUCUUCUUUAUUUACUGUGUUUGCUUAGGGAAAGUUAAGGCCAGGAUUGAGUCUGGUCAGUGCCAUGGUUCAGAUAGUAACGCAGUCCUACAGACAGGAGUUACUCUUCCUAUCUGUGCUGGUUAGUUUUAAAUUAGUGUCAUUAUGGAAGAGGGAAACUCAACUGAGAAAAUGCCCCUUCAAGACUGGCCUGUGGGCAAGACUGUAGGACAUUUUCUUAUUUAGUGGCUUAUAUGGGAGGACCCAAGUCAUUGUGGAUGGGGUCACCCUGGGUUCUAUAAAAAAGCAGGCUGAGCGAGCCAUGGAAGCUUGCUCCCUCCAUAGCCUUUCUAUCAGCUCCUGCCUCAAGGUUCCUGCCGUGUUUGAGUUCCUGCAGUUAUUUCUUUGGAUGCAGACUACAUCCAAAGUGAAGAGGAAAUAAACCGUUUCCUCCCCAAGCUGCUUAUGGUCAUGGUGUUUAUCACAGCAACAGAAAUCCCAAUUAAGAAAUUAGUUACCAGGCCUUGGGGUAUCGCUGUGACAGGCCUGACCUUGUAUUUUUGGAGGAUUGUAGAAAUACUUUGGAACUUUGGACUAGAAAAACCUUUUAGUGCUCAAAGUUUAAUGAAUUGCUGUGGGAACUUAGCAGACAAUGCUGGGAGUAGUGCAGAUGAAGAUGGCUUGUGAAGUUGGAGGAAGUUUGUGAGUCCCUCAAGUUCUCUAUUAGGGUUGUUUGUAUGAUACAGUGAAGCUUCGCUUUGCUGGAACAAUGGAUGCUGUCAGCUGGGACUGAAGAGCCAGCUGUGAUUAAGAAGAGACCAGCAUCACUGAGAUAAAAUCUGUGAAGUGUUUCCUCAGGCUCAGCACACAGAAGCUGUGGUCCAGAGGGAGCUGAACCUAGCAGUGUAAGACUCCCAGCUCGUACUGGAUUGAAAGUAUGAAGGGAUCAUGACAAGCAGCUGAGACUUGGCACAGUGAAGGCCAGGCCAGGCCGCUGGUGCUCUCAACCACAGCAGAAGCCCAGGAUUAAGCAGGUCCUGGUGAAUGUGAAAGGGUUAGAGUCCCUGAAGAGAGCCCAAGAAAAGGAAGUUACUGGUGAAGGAGCAGACCAGCUGCAGUGGAGAUGACCACCGGGAAAGCGGCAGCUGUGGAGUGGAACCAGUCUGAGCCUAGGAGACCAGCUGCAUGUGCUGCACACAGCUGCCCACGCAUGUCCACGGAGCCCAGAAGAUCGUGAGUGGAUGCCAGAAGCCUGACACUAAGCUUUACGCUGUCGGACUCUGGGUUCACCUGACGAUUAUGACUGUGCCCUUAUUCUUCCUUCUCGGAAUAAGAAUAUGUGUAACUCAUUUCUUACUUUACAAGUAUCCAUAGUUGAGAGACUUUUAACUUUCAAAGAGACUUUGGAAUUUUAAAGAGACUGGAUAUUUACAUAAACUUUGGCUAUUUUACAGAGAUUAUGAAUAUUUUAGGGAGUCUUUAGAUGUUUUAAAGGGAUAGAACUUUUAAAGUGUAUAAAAAUAUUUAAAUGUU